GCGGGUGUAGUUCAGUGGCAGAACGUCAGCUUCCCAAGCUGAAUGUCGUCGGUUCGAUCCCGAUCACCCGCUCCA
This 75-nucleotide transfer RNA is filed under the name Paracoccaceae bacterium. RNAcentral describes it as "Rhodobacteraceae bacterium (sponge metagenome) tRNA-Gly". It matches the Rfam family "tRNA". Rfam says of the family: Transfer RNA (tRNA) molecules are approximately 80 nucleotides in length. Their secondary structure includes four short double-helical elements and three loops (D, anti-codon, and T loops). Further hydrogen bonds mediate the characteristic L-shaped molecular structure. tRNAs have two regions of fundamental functional importance: the anti-codon, which is responsible for specific mRNA codon recognition, and the 3' end, to which the tRNAs corresponding amino acid is attached (by aminoacyl-tRNA synthetases). tRNAs cope with the degeneracy of the genetic code in two manners: having more than one tRNA (with a specific anti-codon) for a particular amino acid; and 'wobble' base-pairing, i.e. permitting non-standard base-pairing at the 3rd anti-codon position. The record is from RNAcentral. Lineage: Bacteria; Pseudomonadati; Pseudomonadota; Alphaproteobacteria; Rhodobacterales; Paracoccaceae. RNAcentral also lists the same sequence under 2 other names.